Molecule: ribosomal RNA, 496 nt
Filed under: uncultured bacterium
Lineage: Bacteria
Description: partial 16S ribosomal RNA
Rfam family: Bacterial small subunit ribosomal RNA
Source: RNAcentral
GAUGAACGCUGGCGGCGUGCCUAAUACAUGCAAGUCGAGCGAACGGACGAGAAGCUUGCUUCUCUGAUGUUAGCGGCGGACGGGUGAGUAACACGUGGAUAACCUACCUAUAAGACUGGGAUAACUUCGGGAAACCGGAGCUAAUACCGGAUGAUAUUUUGAACCGCAUGGUUCAAAAGUGAAAGACGGUCUUGCUGUCACUUAUAGAUGGAUCCGCGCUGCAUUAGCUAGUUGGUAAGGUAACGGCUUACCAAGGCAACGAUGCAUAGCCGACCUGAGAGGGUGAUCGGCCACACUGGAACUGAGACACGGCCCAGACUCCUACGGGAGGCAGCAGUAGGGAAUCUUCCGCAAUGGGCGAAAGCCUGACGGAGCAACGCCGCGUGAGUGAUGAAGGUCUUCGGAUCGUAAAACUCUGUUAUUAGGGAAGAACAUAUGUGUAAGUAACUGUGCACAUCUUGACGGUACCGAAUCAGAAAGCCACGGCUAACUACGU